GUUUUACUUCACUCCAGAUGGUUGAUGAUCGUGUUGUCGUACAUUACUGCCACCUGCUGGAAUCACUGAUGCACUGCAAUGUCCAUUUCUCCCUCAGAGGCGGAACGUUUCCAUCUCUUCUGCGCACGUCUGAGUUUUGAUUUUUGGCUUUGCCCUGUUAGCAUGAGAGAUGGUACCUACAGCCUUGCUGCAUGUCUCAGCACCGUCUCGAGUGACAUCCCAGGACAGAGGCCACUGCAGGAGAGCUGAACAGUGCCAGUAGGGCUACAAAACGACCUCCAGCAGGGCACUCUUCUCCUCAGACUAUCAGAAUGAGACUCCACGAAGAGGACACCAGGGCGCGAUGUGUGGAGACCUGUGCUUAGAGCCCAGGACUGUGCAGCUCAACCAGAAUUCAGCCAAAAACUCCAGAACAAAAAAGAUAAAAUGCACAAAUGUUUUUCUUUGUUUUAUUUUCACUGAGAGUUAUCAUUUGUGGCUUAUUCACAUACAGUAAAAACGAUGACAUUACACGGUCUCGAAGCUUAUUAGAGCUGUGAAGUAAAAAAGUCUGAAAUUUGCUUAUGAGGAAAACACAGGUUUAUAUAAACUUACAAAAUGCAGUAAAUUCUACAGGAUACAGAAAGGAAACUAGAAAAAUAGAGUUCUUUAAUAUACAUGGACGUAAAGAGCUAUACAUAAUGUUUCAAGCAAGGUCCAUUUCAUGUGUGCGUUUCCAUCGAGGCCUUUAAUCCAUCAGGUAUGUGUGAAGCUUACGUCUCAGAACAAACAUAGAUACCUGCUGAAAACUCUCGAUAGUUUUUAAUAAACAGGGUUAAAUGUGAAGCAGUAAACUGGGCAAACACUGGAGUCUGCUGUCAGCAAGUUAGAUCAUAUAAAUACGCUGCGUCUGUCUGCAGUGUGUCUGAGAUCCUGAAACAUUUCCCCCUCCAACUGUCAGUCAAACCUGAGUUUGGAUGCAAACUGCACGCCAGCCACUGAGGUGUGUUAAAGGUCUGAAUAUUUAAACAUGUAGAAGAGACAUGAAAAUAAUAAAAAGGGUCAAUCUGAGGUGUAUAAAACAUGUUUUCUUAGAAAAGCUGGCAGACAUUUUGGCUUUUAGAGAUCCUCACUUGCAAAAGGAAACACAUUAAGAAACAGUUUCAGGGACCUUUUAACUUACUUGUUUCAUUUUUUGUACUGAAAGCCAACUAAAUGCUAUCAUCAGGGCAAAAAACCCACAUAAAAAU
Molecule: long non-coding RNA, 1229 nt
Organism: Oreochromis niloticus (Nile tilapia)
Lineage: Eukaryota; Metazoa; Chordata; Actinopteri; Cichliformes; Cichlidae
Exons: 2
Source: RefSeq, a predicted model, not a curated record